RNAcentral lists this non-coding RNA (47 nucleotides) under Trypanosoma lewisi. The record is from RNAcentral. Lineage: Eukaryota; Euglenozoa; Kinetoplastea; Trypanosomatida; Trypanosomatidae.
AUUAAUAAUACUUAACUAACGAUCUAUGGGUUUAAAAAUAAUGUUAG